Molecule: ribosomal RNA, 546 nt
Filed under: Irpex laceratus
Lineage: Eukaryota; Fungi; Basidiomycota; Agaricomycetes; Polyporales; Irpicaceae
Description: eukaryotic LSU rRNA
Rfam family: Eukaryotic large subunit ribosomal RNA
Source: RNAcentral
AGCGGGAAGCUCAAAUUUAAAAUCUGGCGGCUUUGGUCGUCCGAGUUGUAUCCUAGAGAAGUGUUUUCCGCGUUGGACCGUGUAUAAGUCUCUUGGAACAGAGCGUCAUAGAGGGUGAGAAUCCCGUCUUUGACACGGACUACCAAUGCUUUGUGAUACACUCUCAAAGAGUCGAGUUGUUUGGGAAUGCAGCUCAAAAUGGGUGGUAAAUUCCAUCUAAAGCUAAAUAUUGGCGAGAGACCGAUAGCGAACAAGUACCGUGAGGGAAAGAUGAAAAGCACUUUGGAAAGAGAGUUAAACAGUACGUGAAAUUGCUGAAAGGGAAACGAUUGAAGUCAGUCGCGUUAGCUAGAACUCAACCAGGCUUGCUUGGCGUAUUUUCUAGUUAACGGGCCAGCAUCAGUUUUGACUGCAGGAAAAAGGCCAGGGAAAUGUGGCACCUUCGGGUGUGUUAUAGUCUUUGGUCAUAUACUGCGAUUGGGACUGAGGUUCGCAGCACGCGCAAGCUGUGCUUAGGAUGCUGGCGUAAUGGCUUUAAACGACCCG